This 441-nucleotide ribosomal RNA is filed under the name uncultured bacterium. RNAcentral describes it as "partial 16S ribosomal RNA". It matches the Rfam family "Bacterial small subunit ribosomal RNA", at positions 338 to 795 of the family's 1533-position model. The record is from RNAcentral.
CCUACGGGUGGCUGCAGUGGGGAAUAUUGCGCAAUGGGGGAAACCCUGACGCAGCAACGCCGCGUGAGUGAAGAAGGAUUUCGGUUUGUAAAGCUCUAUAAUCAGGGAAGAAGUAUGACGGUACCUGACUAAGAAGCCCCGGCUAACUACGUGCCAGCAGCCGCGGUAAUACGUAGGGGGCAAGCGUUAUCCGGAUUUACUGGGUGUAAAGGGUGCGUAGGCGGGUAUGCAAGUCUGAAGUGAAAGCUGGUGGCUCAACCGCCGAACUGCUUUGGAAACUGUUUAGCUUGAGUGCUGGAGAGGAAGGCGGAAUUCCUAGUGUAGCGGUGAAAUGCGUAGAUAUUAGGAGGAACACCAGUGGCGAAGGCGGUCUGCUGGACAGUAACUGACGCUGAGGCGCGAAAGCGUGGGGAGCAAACAGGAUUAGAUACCCUUGUAGUC